CAAUAGCGUAUAUUAAAGUUGUUGCAGUUAAAAAGCUCGUAGUUGGAUUUGUGGUUCGUCCCGCCGGCUGGGUCAUUGACUUUUGCUGUGCUGGUCGUCCAUCCUUGGGUGGAAUCUGUGUGACAUUAGGUUGUCGCGCAGGGGAUGCCCAUCGUUUACUGUGAAAAAAUUAGAGUGUUCAAAGCAGGCUUAUGCCGUUGAAUAUAUUAGCAUGGAAUAAUGAUAUAGGACCUUGGUACUAUUUUGUUGGUUUGCGCACUGAGGUAAUGAUUAAUAGGGACAGUUGGGGGUAUUCGUAUUCCAUUGUAAGAGGUGAAAUUCUUGGAUUUUUGGAAGACGAACUACUGCGAAAGCAUUUACCAAGGAUGUUUUCAUUAA
RNAcentral lists this ribosomal RNA (378 nucleotides) under uncultured eukaryote. RNAcentral's name for it is "partial 18S ribosomal RNA". It matches the Rfam family "Eukaryotic small subunit ribosomal RNA", at positions 592 to 976 of the family's 1831-position model. The record is from RNAcentral.